UACGGAGGGUGCAAGCGUUAUCCGGAAUCACUGGGCGUAAAGGGCGCGUAGGUGGUCUGUUAAGUCUGGCGUUAAAGCCUGGGGCUCAACCCCAGAUCAGCGUUGGAUACUGGCAGGCUAGACGGUUGGAGAGGCGAGUGGAAUUACCAGUGUAGCGGUGGAAUGCGUAGAUACUGGUAGGAACACCCAUUGCGAAGGCAGCUCGCUGGACAACACGUGACACUGAGGCGCGAAAGUGUGGGGAGCAAACCGGAUUAGAUACCCCCGUA
This 269-nucleotide ribosomal RNA is filed under the name uncultured prokaryote. RNAcentral describes it as "partial 16S ribosomal RNA". It matches the Rfam family "Bacterial small subunit ribosomal RNA", at positions 524 to 792 of the family's 1533-position model. The record is from RNAcentral.